GGUUUGUGUCUCAAAGGCAACAUUUUCUUGUGUGUUGGGGUUGUAAAGUUAUGAUUUUUAAUGCGUAACUGUGAGGAAUUCUUGGGAUUUGGUAAGAGAUUCUUGAUUUGCAAGUGCCCAGCAUGAAAGAAAGAAGAAUUCCCAAAUUUAGCAAACUGGUCUUUAGGUAUUUCCCCAGUGAAGUUAUUGAAUGAAAUAUUCAAGAAAUUGAG
This 212-nucleotide unclassified non-coding RNA is filed under the name Hevea brasiliensis (rubber tree). The record is from RNAcentral. Lineage: Eukaryota; Viridiplantae; Streptophyta; Magnoliopsida; Malpighiales; Euphorbiaceae.